Long non-coding RNA from Lates calcarifer (barramundi perch), 1278 nucleotides. RefSeq lists it as uncharacterized. The transcript has 3 exons. Lineage: Eukaryota; Metazoa; Chordata; Actinopteri; Centropomidae. The record is from RefSeq and is a predicted model, not a curated record.
GGGCAGGAGGGAGUUUCAGAUGCUAUCCAGCCAUCCAGCAUGUAGUUCAGAUGCAUCAAAUCCUGCUUAGUUAUCAUAGCAGGUUGCCAGCUCUGUGUUUUUGGGCCUAUAGGCAGACAUGUUGAAUUGAAAAUUAAAUGGUGAAACAAAAGGUGAAGUCAGAGGAUUAAAUGCUACAUUUUUGUCAUCCAAGUGACAAACCUAGAUGUACUGAACCUAAGGGCAUCUAGAUUCAGGAGCUAGGUAAUGUCACAUGAAAACCAGCUAUAUUGUAAUCUUUGGCCCAGCAUGACCCAGGAAGAGGACAUUGGGGAGUUUUCUUCAGUAUUAUCAGGGAAUUCCCAAACUCCUUAUGUAGCAAGAAAAGUCAGCUGUGGCUUUCACACCCCUGUUUAGUUCUGACUAUUCAGCCCUGUCUCAAGAGUUCUGUCACUUUAUAUCAAGACACCAAUUGAUAAAUUGGGCAGUUUCAUACGUAUGUGGGAUCAUCCUCUUUAUUGCUCGGUAGAUGGUUAGCGGACAGCAGCACAUUUGUGCUCUCUGGUAGGGACUAAACCUGGCAGAAAGGGACAACUCAGAUACCUCUGAUAGGAAUCUGAAGAAACUUCUGGACACCUGAUUCGGGAUGCCCAAGCCCCAUAUGGUGACAGAGGUUACAGUCGGUUCAACAUUUUCCUGUGACCCCAGAAAAAUCAGUGAGGAAGGCCGUGACCCAGAGAAGUUGUCCUAGACUGGAAGAAGAGGAAGACGAGGCUGUACCAAACCCUCCUUAAUGAUGCGUCUGUGCCAUGUGAUUGAUGUCUUCAGAUAUCCAACCUUCAGGAAGGUUUUUAUUGUUGUGGUUACCCAGCCCUGUACACUGCCUUGACCUCCUGACCUCCAGCCCCCACAAGUCUGCAAAGUGGCAUGCCAACAUUGCACAACUCAGCUGAGGAAACACAAACUGUGGCCAUUAAUGAACAAUGUAAACCUCACAAGAUGCAUCUUCUUGGAACCCAAGUCCUACAAACUUUUGCACAAAGUAUGUACCACCUAACCAGCAAUGGACUCAUCCACCCACAUCCCUCAAAGUGCUUAGGAGGCUCUUUCUUGCCAUCAGACUACAACAUAAUUGGGAGGAGGAGAUUCUGUAACUGUAUGUGUGAUGAUGAUUCUCUCAAGUGGGUAUUCAGCCCAUAGAUAAUGUACUAUGACUCCAUUUAAAAUCUGUAUUGGUAAAUGAAGUACAUGUAUGCUCCUGUGUUGGAUAUCAAGUAAAAUCAUUGCUUAUUUCCUAAA